RNA transcript from Puntigrus tetrazona (Sumatra barb), 3477 nucleotides. It is a transcript of the gene named utrophin-like, with no coding region annotated. The record is from RefSeq and is a predicted model, not a curated record. NCBI's taxonomy places the organism in Eukaryota, Metazoa, Chordata, Actinopteri, Cypriniformes, Cyprinidae. The transcript is spliced from 21 exons.
GGAGUUUUUGCUGACAAGGAAACAAGCUUUUGCACCUCAGUCCAACUUUCAAUUUUCACGGUCCUCUAUUCAUUGUUCCGCGUCCCUUUGAAGAUAUACAAGCCUGAAGACAGGACAUCUCUUGAGUCUGAUCUUUGCGCUGGCUUUAUUUGGUGCUUUGGAGAAGCGUUUUCUCUUCUUCACACUUGCAAACCACCUCUCAAGUUGUUGGACAUGCUGUAGGAGCAUUCGGAUUCACUUUCAAAGCCUAGACGAUGUGCUAACUGUGCAGACGUCAGGAGCGGCAAUCCAUUAGGAUGAGGAUCUUAAAUAAACCCAGCAGUCUGAGGAUAAUGGCUAUGGUGAGAUCUUCACUGCAGAAAGUGAUGCUUUUCCUCCAACACAUCCAAAGAAUGGCCGUCACGUCACCACGUUAUCAGAAACUGUGCAAGGACAUUCAGACAGAUGUUGAUACACACACGGAUCUUUCUAAACAGGCUCCGGGGUGUCAGAUCCCGAAUUCCAAGGCGCGAGAGCUUGACAAGUUUGGAGAUGUGGACCACAUUCAUAUAGCCUCGAGAAGAGAUUGCUUGGAGCCCGGUGCGGAGAACUGGACGGGACUCAUAGCCAUCCUCGAAGAGCUUUGGUUCUGGGUAAAGCUGAAGGACGAGGACCUGUCAAGGCAGAGGCCGGUGGGAGAAGACGUACAUACUUUACUGCAGAAACAAGCCUACCGUACGGCCCUGCACAGCGAGUUGAUUGGACGGAGACAGGACGUGAAUCAGAUGUGUCUUUCUCUGGCUGUUCAAUCCACAGCGACGGAAGUCCAGAGCAAUACAGAGACGGCUGCGGCAGAGACGGUCCAGGAGGAGAAGAUUCGUCAGCUGGCUCAAGCGGUUCAGGAGCAGGCCACUGAGGUCCAGCAGCACUGGGAGUUAUUCAGUGCUCAGGCCGCCAGCUGGCAACACGAGGUGGACUGGGCUCUGAGGAAACUUCAGGAUCUCCAGCAUGCCAUGAACCAGCUGGACCUCGGCUUGGCUGAGAUAGAGAAUGAGAGCUUGCACUCUGAGGAACACCGCAGGGUCAGCUGUGUGCUGGAGAACGUGGAAAAUAUUGUUUAUGAGUAUCCACAAGUGUUUAAGAGAAGAGGGAAAAUUUACUCUGGGAUUGUGGGUAAUCAGCACCGACAGUUGCAGUGCUCUCAAACGGAUAAGGGAUAUUUCUCCCAUGACUUCUUGUCUGUUUCCGUUCAGUCCCCUUGGCAAAGAGCUGUUUUUCAUAACGGCGUCCCUUAUUACAUCAAUCAUGAGCAGCAGACCACCUCGUGGGAUCAUCCAAAGAUGACACAGCUAUUUCAGUCAAUGGCCGAUCUGAGCCAUGUGCGUUUCUCCGCUUACCGCACAGCCAUGAAGAGCCGGCGGCUACAGAAAGCCCUCUGCUUGGACCUUUUGGAGCUCGGCAUCGCUCAGAGUGUCUUUGAUCAACACAAACUCACACAUAAUGGCCAGCUACUGGAGAUUCCUGGCAUCAUAAACUGUCUCUGCACAAUCUACCGUGAACUUCAGCAGGUGCAUCCGGAUCUGGUUGAUGUGCCUUUGUGUGUGGAUCUGUGUCUAAACUGGCUUCUGAAGGUCUACGACAGCGACCGAAGCGGAAAGGUUCGAGUGUUGUCCAUGAAGAUCGGCUUGUUUUCUCUUUCGAAAGGACCUCUAAAGGAUAAGUACAAAUAUCUGUUCGCUCAGGUGUCCGGCGCUGCAGGUGUCUGUAACCAGAGACAGCUAGCAUUACUGCUUCACAACAGCAUCCAGAUCCCACACCAGCUCGGGGAGGCCGCUGCGUUCGGAGGGAGUAACAUGGAGCCCAGUGUCCGUAGCUGCUUUCAGUAUGUGGGCCGUGAUGACGUCAUUGAGCUGCAGCAGUUUGAGGACUGGAUGCAUUUGGAGCCUCAGUCCAUGGUCUGGCUGCCUGUGCUUCACAGAGUCGCCGCAGCAGAAACCGCCAAACAUCAGGCCAGAUGCAACAUCUGCAAAGAGUGUCCCAUGGUGGGCUUGAGGUAUCGGAGUCUGAAGCACUUCAACUACAAUGUGUGUCAGAUGUGUUUUUUCUCGGGAAGGAUUUCCAAGGACCAUCAUCUCAGCUAUCCAAUGGUGGAGUACUGCACCCCUCCAGUGCCGAAACUCUCCUGUCCCUGCCUCUGUAAUUCUUCACGCACAACAGAACAUUUCCCUACAGCCUCUCUGUUACAGACCACCUCAGGAGAAGAUGUGCGUGACUUCACCAAGGUGCUGAAAAACAAGUUCCGCUCAAAGAAGUACUUCACCAAACACCCUCGGCUCGGCUACCUGCCCGUGCAGGCCAUCCUGGAGGAGGAGCAUUUAGAGACCCCCGUUGCAUUUGUAAGCAUGUGUCCAGAGGAGUACGAGUCGACACAGAACAACAGAGAAUCCAGGACCAUCCUACCUGUGGCAGAAUCUCGCCUGUCGGCAGGAAAAAUCAGUGCAGACGACAUCCGCACUCAGACUGAUGAGAGAGCAUGUGCACACCAGAGCUCAUCCGACGCUGAGAUGAUGGUGAACGAGCUGGAACCUUCUCAGAGUCUGGAGGCGGACAGAUCUGAGGAUGUUUUUGGCAACUUCACAUGAGAUUCUUCAAUCAGAUGAGAUAGUGGUGGCCUGGGAUCUGAAGUUUGAGUUCUUUGCAUAAGAUUUCAUCUUGCAUCACCCAAUUGCAGUGUUGCAAACUGAAAAGAGCCGAUUUCUUUAACCAAGAUGCUAUUAAAGCCACCCCAUCUCUAAAGAUUACAUUAAAUGAUCUCGUUCGUUUUAGGAGAUGAUGGAAACCAUUAAUGCCUGUUUAAUGGGCUAAUGGUUUAAGGAACCAUUCAUUCAUUAUGUAAUUGGUAAUUACGGUGUUACAUAAUACUAAUUACAAUGCAAAGCAGACAAAAGAUUUGUUGCUAAAAACACCAUACCUCCUUGAGGAUUAAGGAUAUAGCCAUAGUCUCUGUAAAGAUUGUUAUCAUGAAGGUAUGCAUCAUUUAUCGAAGUACAUUAUCGCUCCAGAAAGCUGUGCUUCUAUGUUUAGCUUAUGAAAUGUGGCGGUGGUUCUGGGUCUAAUAUUUGUCUGUCUAAACCUCUGCCGUAAAAGCCAAUUUCCAUUAAGGUUACUGAAGCAGAUGAUUCCAGCUGACCACAGUCCAGCCCCUCAGUCUUAGAUCCAUUCAUGACAUUUAUCAUAGUUUUUCAUGGCUGAGAUAGAAACUGAAAAGGAGACAAAGUAUUUGUUUAUACAAGUAUGGCCUAAUUAAUGGUGAUUUAUAGGCUACUCAAUAGCCAAAUCCAACUUUAAAGAAGUCAAAAUCAUUGAUUUACUAACAAAUUUGUAUCUCUCAGAAAAAUUGUCCUGCUAAAGACAUUUUUUUUUAAAUGAUCAUAUUAUGAUUCUGAAUACAGCAGCAGCACCUAGUGGUAAGACACUUUACAAAAUAAAAAUAAAGGA